Drosophila subobscura is the source of this 329-nucleotide long non-coding RNA. RefSeq lists it as uncharacterized. The transcript has 2 exons. Lineage: Eukaryota; Metazoa; Arthropoda; Insecta; Diptera; Drosophilidae. The record is from RefSeq and is a predicted model, not a curated record.
AAUUGGGUCAUCCAGUGGCUGAAGUGGCCAAGACUUUCGAGUGCGUUCCCUACUGGCAAAUAGACGAAACACUGCUGGCCGUGGGCUAGGGCAAAUGGAAACUGGCUAUGCUGGAUCCCGAGAGCGAGACAAUCAUCUCUGAACUGAUCUACGAUGACGACGACAUCAAAGAAGGUGCAUAAAGCAGCGGAGCUACACCUGCAACGCCAACUCUUUAAAGGCCCAAUCGACCAUCGAUACCCAUUAGUACACGGAUGCACAGCUUUUGCUAUGAGCAAACAAAUACUCGUAAAAACGGAAGAGUGGAUCUGAGCCACACACACUGGGGG